CUUGAUUCCCUCUAAAGAACCUGUCGCCUGCAGCUCUACGUCCUGCAUGUUUUACAAAAUUGCCAAUUGACCUGUUUUCUUGCGUACCAACUACCAAUGCCAUUCAGAAUCUCGUUUACCGCAUUAAAAUUUUUGUCUGAACACUUGUUUUCAGUUACAGAGGUGGAUUCUGAUUCUUCGCAAAUCACAAUCAUUGGAAAUCAACUUCUAACUUAAAAUCAGUCAUGCCACAUCCCUGCAAAUGGGUUUCAAUAAAAAGUGUAGGGAUUGGGCAAGAUGGACAGUCUUUGGAGCUGUAUAAAUUUUAUGUUCGAAAAAA
This 319-nucleotide unclassified non-coding RNA is filed under the name Hevea brasiliensis (rubber tree). The record is from RNAcentral. Lineage: Eukaryota; Viridiplantae; Streptophyta; Magnoliopsida; Malpighiales; Euphorbiaceae.